GAAAUAUGGGACAUAUAUGCCAACGCUAUCCAUCUUGCCCCACAGUAACAUACAGACAGAAUAUUAGUUAGACUUAACAUUCUUGAACAAGCAGUCGAUGCGAAUUGUUUAAUUAAACUUUACGUCGCGUUUUUCACAUUCAAGAAAUUCAUUUAGAUCAACUACGUCACAGUACUUCGUAAUAAUUGAUAAUUGUGACGUACUGGGCGAAUUUCGAUCACCGGCCAUGUUAGUUGUCACGUGGUCUGGACUCCAGGGAUUCGGAUCAAUAUUGAACCUGCAGUCGGGUGCCGGAGUAACUUUGUAUUGGUUAGAUAAGGCUGGUGUGGACGGUGCUGUAUAUGCUGUUAUUAUAGACGUGUACUUAGAUAUAGUGGGGCGGGAGAAAACGGGACACUUCUAGCACAUAUUAUCUAAAUAUUUUGAUCGCGUUUUAAACAAUUAACAACGGUCUAUGGGAAUCGUGAAGAUAGGGUUUUCUAAUAGUAGUAAAACUUGGGUGCUAUAUAUGCUGAAGGUGUAUUUAAGUAUAUACAGUAACUACACAUUGCAUUAAAUAUAGGUUGCUGGUGUAUUGUAAUAUAAUGUUUUACUUAGACACCUUUUGGACUAGUAUAGAUAUAUUCAGAUUCAUUGCCGAGCUGUAAGAACCUCACUUUCACAGAAUAAAUAAGACGCCUUUAUGUUAACUCAGCUCUAUUGAUAAGCAUAACAUACAUAUAGGUGUCUUAUUAGAUAUAAGCUUCGUUGAGCAUUUCUUGCUAGUUUCUGCAGUACGUGACUUAUAUUUGAGAUAUAAUGGGCUAAUGACGUCAUACUGACGAAGAAGUGACGUCAUACUGACGUAACAGUGACGUCAUGGCGUCAUCGUUAUGCAUGAGUACGUCACUGACAAACGUGUUCGUUCAACGAGUGACGGUUCUCGAUAUUAUGGAGGUUAUUACGUCAGAGACACGUCACAACACAUGGACAUACGUCAUCGGGGUCACGUGGUCAGAUACAAGAGAGCACAAGAUUCAACGAAACUACAACGAAAUAACUCAGUUCUACAACUUGAUCUACCGUUUGAUCGCCAGCGAUAAAAACGCAAAGCUGAGGUUUCUGAAAGAUUUGCCGAAAGUCCCAGCGCGUGGUUUCUUUGAUUGGAGUUCAUUCAAACUAAUGGUUCGAAACCAAGCAACCGUCGAUUCCUUUCUACGAGUUCUCAUCAAACUGCCUGCACAGGUAUCACGUCAUCAGAGCGUCCUUGACUUUUUCGAGCUCCACGAUUCCGACGCCUUAAAUGACGUCACAAAACUGAACAAUUAUAAAUCGAAGACGGUUCCUGAAACUCCGCCGCGAGAGGUCGCUGUUGAUUCGUGUUUUGAAGAGCCAUCCAAUCAGAAUCUUCGCAGAGUUGCCCCGCCCACUUUCCUUCCGGUUAAAUCUUGCUUCGAACCUGAUGACGUCAUACCAUCAAGCGGGUACCAGAUAAUGUUAGAAGACGUCACACCGUUCGAACUUUACGAGAAUUACGAAAAACGUGGUUUCUACGUCACGCCGAUGUCCGACUACUUUUGUGAAGAUAUUUUUGCCUCCGAGAAUAUAAUAAAGAAACAAACGGAGGAGGAGCGAUGGAGGAGGGAGUGUGAGGAAAUUAUUUCUCCUUAUUCUCCGAACAAAGCUUAUUUCCGAUUGGUGCACGCUCUAGAAAACCAAGAUUGUGACGUCAUAUUUUAGAAUGUUACGUCAUCUAUUGCAUAUUCACGUCUUAUAUAAGAUUGUGACGUCAUAUGUUCAACUCUUUAACUCUAUGUUCCAUUACCGCGAUAUUAUUUUGUGACGUCACAUAGUGCAAUAUUAUGCUGCUGACCAAAAUCUAGAAAUUUAAAAAUUCUUCAGAAAAUUUGAAGCAACAUAUUUAUUUUCACUGUGAAUAUUAGAAAAUUUACUUUUCCUUUUGCUUUUUCAUCCAUUUCUUUGUUUAGUGGAUUAAAAAUUGCGCUAUGAAUACAAACGUGAAUACAUUUAAAGUUUAAACUAUUCGUCCCCUUUAUUUAUAAGGUUUCUAUGUCCGGUAUAUAAACUUGGGCUCGCAAUUUUUUUCUUCAUUCUGCAUUAUUCACCGUAGGUGUUUCACCACUUGCGUGUACAGUGUUAUGCUACGCUGCUGUAUAAGAACUGCAAUCAUGAAAUCGUUUUAUGCUGUACACAUCGGGAAAUCGCCAGGUGUUUACGAUACGUGGCCUGAAUGCCUGGCGCAAGUUUCUAAGUUUAAAGGCGCAAAAUAUAAAAAGUUUUCCAACAAAGACGAAGCGUCUUACUUCGCGCAUACAGGAACCGAACUAAGCAAAGAUAAAUCCGAUAUUUUGGACAUUUUUAAAGAUGAAUUGGCCGACAAUUCUGCAAAAGAAUCAAAGCCAAAUAAUAUUCCACAAAGCUCAAUUGUAUCGCGCAAACGAAAAGUAAAACCCGAUUCAAAUUCUCGUUUUGGAAAAGUUCAAAAAACGAACGAUCAGCCAACUAAUGCAGAUUCAUCCGAUGGUAGUUGCCCUGUUGUUUACACUGAUGGUGCUUGCUCUAAAAAUGGAAGGAAAGGAAGCAGAGCUGGAUAUGGUGUGUGGUGGGGUGAUGACCAUAAACUGAACUUUUCAGCCAGACUCCCUGGUAUCCCUACGAACCAAAGAGCUGAAAUAGCAGCCGUGAACAAAGCUAUAAAACAAGCCAUUGAUGUUGGUCAUAAACAACUAUUGAUUCGAACAGAUUCCAAAUUUGUGAUCGAUUGUAUAACGAAGUGGGUGCAAGGU
Ciona intestinalis (vase tunicate) is the source of this 2786-nucleotide non-coding RNA. The record is from RefSeq and is a predicted model, not a curated record. Lineage: Eukaryota; Metazoa; Chordata; Ascidiacea; Phlebobranchia; Cionidae.